GAUGAACGCUGGCGGCGUGCCUAAUACAUGCAAGUCGAGCGAACGGACGAGAAGCUUGCUUCUCUGAUGUUAGCGGCGGACGGGUGAGUAACACGUGGAUAACCUACCUAUAAGACUGGGAUAACUUCGGGAAACCGUAGCUAAUACCGGAUAAUAUUUUGAACCGCAUGGUUCAAAAGUGAAAGACGGUCUUGCUGUCACUUAUAGAUGGAUCCGCGCUGCAUUAGCUAGUUGGUAAGGUAACGGCUUACCAAGGCAACGAUGCAUAGCCGACCUGAGAGGGGGAUCUGCCCCACUGGAACUGAGACAACGUCCAGACUCCUGCGGGAGGCAGCAGUAGGGAAUCGGCAGCCAUGGGCUAAAGUCUGCCGGAGCACCGGCGCGUGCGGGAGGAAGGUCUUCGGAUCGUAAAACUCUGUUAGUAGGGAAGAACAUAUGUGUACGUAACUGUGCCCAUCUUGACGGUACCUAAGCAGAAAGCCACGGCUAACUUCGUG
This 497-nucleotide ribosomal RNA is filed under the name uncultured bacterium. RNAcentral's name for it is "partial 16S ribosomal RNA". It matches the Rfam family "Bacterial small subunit ribosomal RNA", at positions 28 to 507 of the family's 1533-position model. The record is from RNAcentral.